UCCCAAAAGUUGCCCCCCCACUCCUGAGUCGGAGCAUGACGUGAUGGGAAACCACUCCUUUCGUCCGAAGCCGUCGUCCACGUGGAAGCGCUGGCUCUUUGCCCUCGAAAGUGAAAAAACCUCCACCUCCGGGGUCGAUCAGGAAUCGUCGGUCGGGUUCCCCGACUGACUUCCUCGAGAAGAGAUUCUAGCCAUGAUGCUAGCCCCAGAAAGAAGAACAAAAAGAAAAUGGCAAAGGAGGAAGGGUGCAAGAAGACAAGAACAGGCAAAACUUCGAGAAGAGCUUUCGAAGGAUAACUCGACAGAGCCUCAGCGCUAGGAGUAGAUUUGCAGCAAAAGUAAAAUUUUGGAUGUAAGUGGCAGCAUAUAUAUAAGGC
Molecule: long non-coding RNA, 377 nt
Filed under: Elaeis guineensis (African oil palm)
Lineage: Eukaryota; Viridiplantae; Streptophyta; Magnoliopsida; Arecales; Arecaceae
Description: long non-coding RNA (EGUI_LNC021070)
Source: RNAcentral